UCGUUAAAGACGAUAACGUUGAUAGGCUACAGGUGUAAAGUCAGUGAUGGCAAAGCCGAGUAGUACUAAUUACCUGUAAGCUUUUAAUA
This 89-nucleotide ribosomal RNA is filed under the name Crocinitomicaceae bacterium. Its description in RNAcentral is "partial 23S ribosomal RNA". It matches the Rfam family "Bacterial large subunit ribosomal RNA", at positions 2835 to 2925 of the family's 2925-position model. Lineage: Bacteria; Pseudomonadati; Bacteroidota; Flavobacteriia; Flavobacteriales; Crocinitomicaceae. The record is from RNAcentral.